UAUAUUAAGCUUAUUUCAAAGAUUAAGCCAUGCAAAUGUAAGAACAAAUCGUAGGGGCAACUCUAUGAUAUUUCAUCUGUACACAGCUCCAUAUAAGAUUUAUAAGCGUCUCUAAUUGUGUAAAUUAUAAGGAUAACGUUGCUAAACGCAUCGAUAAUACUUGAGAAAUAAUUAUUAUUUCUAAUAGGAAUGUGGAAUAAUGUCCCUUGGCAACAGGGGGGAUAAUCAAUCGAUCAAUUAGACGCAUUUAUCACCCAUCAAUUAGAUAACUGUUUCGAUAACAGCUAUGAUUAUUACGGGUACAGAGAAUCGGGGUUCGAUUCUGGAGAAGGAGCCUGAGAAAUAGCUACUAGUGCCAUGACAUGCAGCAGGCGCGAAAAUUACCCAAUGAUAAUAAGAGAUCGAGGUAGUGACAAGAAAUAAGCACUGCUUCUUAACUAGAAGCAGGUACUGGUUAAUUUAUCGGUUUACAAUGGUUCCGUAUUAGACUUACGGAAGAGUAACAAUUGGAGGGAAAGUCAGAUGCCAGCAGCCGCGGUAAUAUCUGCUCCAUUAGUAUAAUAUAAAAUUGCUGCAGUUAAAACGUUCGUAGUCGCUAUAAUAGGGAUGAUGAUGUAAUCGAUUAGGUUGAUCUAGGGGAUUAGGCUUUAAAACCUAGUUUCUUAGCCGAAAGGGGGUCCCGCAAGGGAUCUGUUGGCCUAGUCUUAGUAGAAGUAUAGAUGUUUAGUUAGUCUUCGGGCUAGCCGAUGCUAUAUGACUAUGGUUACGUUGUUGUUUCUAGAAUUUAUAUGUGAGCAAAUUAAUGCGAUCAAAGGAUGAUUAGUGGUGGCUAUCUCGCAAGGGAUGGUCAUUGUGAUGUAACAUAUUUUAGCACAUAACCAGUUGUUCUAGCGGUUGUUGCCGUUAGUAUAGGUUAUAAAGCCAGGAGCAAGUAACUCGUACUAAUUGAUGAGGGGUGAAAUCCGUAUAGUCAAUUAAGACGUCCAAAGGCGAAAGCAAGUUACAGGUACUGGCUUGUUGAUGAGGAACGAAAGUUAGGGGAGCAAAGAUGAUUAGAUACCGUCGUAGUCCUAACUGUAAACUAUACAAAUUAGAGAUUGUAUAGAAACUAUUACUAGAUUUAUGCAGUAUCCCAGAGAAAUCACAAAUUUUUGUGUUCUUGGGGUAGUAUAUUCGCAAGAACGAAACUUAAAGGAAUUGACGGAAAUUCACCACCAGGAGUGGAUUCUGCGGCUUAAUUUGACUCAACGCGUGGAAACUUACCAGAACAAGACUAUAGUAUGAUUGACAAGCUAAUGACUUUUCUUGAUUUGUAGAAUAGUGGUGCAUGGUCGUUUUCAGUUCGUGAAUUAGUUUGUCUACUUAAUUGUGAUAACGAGCGAGACCUCCGUAUUUAAUUAGCAACUUCCUUAUCCUAUUACUGGAUAUGGUAUUAAGUGGUAGCAAUAUCACUUACUUCUUAGAUAGACAAUUGGUGAUUAAUAAACAACCAGUGGAAGUUGGAGGCUAUAACAGAUCUGUAAUGCCCUUAUAUAUUCUGGGCGGCACGCGUAAUACAAUGUUUUUGCCAAUAAGAGAACUAGUUUUACUAGUCCAAAUUAGAAAUCUUAAGGGAAACUUAGCAAUUAUUUAUUUCAUAGCUAGGAUUGAGGCUUGUAAGUUCCUCAUGAAUUAGGAAUUCCUAGUAAUCGUAAAUCAACAUUUUGCAAUGAUUACGUCCCUGAGUUUUGUACACACCGCCCGUCGCUCCUACCAAUUGAAUUAUUGAAUGAAUUGGUAGUAGAUUAGUUUUUCGGAACUAGUCAAAUAUCUAUAAAUUUAAUAGUUUGUAGGAAGGAGAAGUCGUAACAAGGUAUUC
Molecule: ribosomal RNA, 1858 nt
Filed under: Harpagon descissus
Lineage: Eukaryota; Heterolobosea; Eutetramitea; Lyromonadida; Psalteriomonadidae
Description: SSU rRNA
Rfam family: Eukaryotic small subunit ribosomal RNA
Source: RNAcentral